AAUCAACGCUGGCGGCGUGCCUCAGACAUGCAAGUCGAACGCGAAAGUCCCCUUCGGGGGACAAGUAGAGUGGCGCACGGGUGAGUAACACGUAGGUAAUCCACCUUCGGAUGGGGAAUAACAACCGGAAACGGUUGCUAAUACCGCAUAAUGCAGCGGCACCUAAUGGUGACAGUUGUUAAAGCGGGGGAUCGAAAGACCUCGCGUCUGAAGAGGAGCCUGCGGCGGAUUAGCUAGNGGUAAGGUAACGGCUUACCAAGGCGACGAUCCGUAGCCGGCCUGAGAGGGCGGUCGGCCACACUGACACUGACAUACGGGUCAGACUCCUACGGGAGCAGCAGUCGGGAAUUUUGGCAAUGGGCGAAAGCCUGACCCAGCAACGCCGCGUGAAGAUGAAAUCCCUCGGGAUGUAAACUUCGCAAGAACGGGAAGAAUAAGUAGGGGACAAUACCCCCUAUGAUGACGGUACCGUUUGUAAGC
Molecule: ribosomal RNA, 480 nt
Filed under: uncultured bacterium
Lineage: Bacteria
Description: bacterial SSU rRNA
Rfam family: Bacterial small subunit ribosomal RNA
Source: RNAcentral